GGUCACAUGGCUCAGUUGGAAGAGCAUCCGCCUACGAAGCGGGAGGCCCCAGGUUCGAGCCCUGGUGUGAUCG
Molecule: non-coding RNA, 73 nt
Organism: Amoeboaphelidium occidentale
Lineage: Eukaryota; Fungi; Aphelidiomycota; Aphelidea
Source: the annotation of a GenBank genome assembly